CGCGCCAUGAAGUUUAGAGGUGGCUAUGGAAGAGGGAGACCAGCACCGCAAUGAUGAGUCAAUCGCUGCUGUACAUAACGGAUUAUUAACGAAAUAAAAAAAACUCUGACAUAAUUGA
Molecule: long non-coding RNA, 118 nt
Organism: Priapulus caudatus
Lineage: Eukaryota; Metazoa; Priapulida; Priapulimorpha; Priapulimorphida; Priapulidae
Exons: 3
Source: RefSeq, a predicted model, not a curated record